GGGCGCAAGCCUGAUGCAGCAACGCCGCGUGAGGGACGACGGCCUUCGGGUUGUAAACCUCUUUUAGCAGGGAAGAAGCGAAAGUGACGGUACCUGCAGAAAAAGCACCGGCUAACUACGUGCCAGCAGCCGCGGUAAUACGUAGGGUGCAAGCGUUAUCCGGAAUUAUUGGGCGUAAAGAGCUCGUAGGCGGUUUGUCGCGUCUGCUGUGAAAACCCGAGGCUCAACCUCGGGCCUGCAGUGGGUACGGGCAGACUAGAGUGCGGUAGGGGAGAUUGGAAUUCCUGGUGUAGCGGUGGAAUGCGCAGAUAUCAGGAGGAACACCGAUGGCGAAGGCAGAUCUCUGGGCCGUAACUGACGCUGAGGAGCGAAAGCGUGGGGAGCGAACAGGAUUAGAUACCCUGGUAGUCCACGCCGUAAACGUUGGGAACUAGAUGUGGGGGCCAUUCCACGGCUUCCGUGUCGCAGCUAACGCAUUAAGUUCCCCGCCUGGGGAGUACGGCCGCAAGGCUA
Molecule: ribosomal RNA, 513 nt
Filed under: uncultured Actinomycetes bacterium
Lineage: Bacteria; Bacillati; Actinomycetota; Actinomycetes
Description: bacterial SSU rRNA
Rfam family: Bacterial small subunit ribosomal RNA
Source: RNAcentral